Molecule: long non-coding RNA, 684 nt
Filed under: Homo sapiens (human)
Lineage: Eukaryota; Metazoa; Chordata; Mammalia; Primates; Hominidae
Description: non-protein coding lnc-OTX2-5:1
Source: RNAcentral
UUUUUUUUUUUGCUAAUCUAUGCAUAAAAUAGAUAUGAAUGACAGUGGUAGGUAGACUUUUUGUGACUUUCAUCAGGAUUGCUCUGAAAUUGAGUUUGGAGAGCCUAACAACAAGAUCUUGUUUUCCUUGCUUUUCCCUCCCUACUUCAAACCUGAACGAUUUCUUAGGCACUUUAUUAGAAUGUUUUAAAAUAUAUCAAGUUUUUAAGAGGGAGGAGGAGAAUUGGAGUAUCUCUGAAAACAUGAGAAUGACAAGAAUUUCUUGUUACUAUUCUCUUAUUUGAUUAAGGGGAUUUUUUUUUUUUAACUUCCAAAAACUGAGGUAAACAUGAGAGGGAGUGUAAUCAGAAUCUGAAAGUAAUUCAGGCAGAAAUGAUUCCUGAACAAAAGAGUUUCAGAAAAGUUUUAAAACCUAUAAUUUCAGUAGUUGAACAUAAGGCACCCUGGUCAGUUUGUGUGUAUGUGUUUAAGAAAGUGCCGAGGGGGAAAAAAUGGGUCCCUUUUCAGUUGUACCUGCAUUUUGUAAACCAGUCACCAGAAAAGACAAAUGGGCCAAUGAUCAUGGUGCUCCUCAGGUAAAAGCAAUAUUUAAUUUCAUUUUAAGCUGCUUAAGCUCUUACAGCUGACCAAAAUUAAGUGACUCUUGAUUGUAACGUUUUAAAUGAAGGUUAGCAGUUGCAACCA